GUUUGGGAAAAAGGCCCGGACUUUCAGCACGGGGCAGACAUACUUGCUUUGACUUUAUUAAAAGGGAACACAAAUAUGUCUGUAAAUGUAGCCAUCUAGGAAAGGAUCCACUUUUGUUUCCUAAAAAUUAGCAUCCUCCAGUCUAAUAGCAAGUGUUACUCUGUGUUUCGAGCCAGCCCAGAUCUAAUCACUGACAACAAAAUAAUUCCUCUCCCUUGCUCUGCCCAGUAAAUACUCCCAAUAUGUCAUUUCAGUGUCAAACUUCCCAGAGUCAUUACCCUCCCCAGCAUCAGACUCCACGGCGACGUGCAGGGCAGCCCGAGCCAGAGACUCCUGCAGUCAGCAAACAAGCAUGUUUUACAUUAGGCACAUUAAGGGGAACAGCCUAUUGCAAGGAAUAUUAAAUUAAAGCAGCAAGGAGAAGGAUUCGACCCUGGCUGUAUGCAGGGAAACAGAGGAGCAGCCCUGGAUUUACAGUGUGGAGCACUUGUAAUUUCCUCAGUCUAUUUGUGCUCUCUACAUCUACAGACACGCUUGUGUUAAAUAACUCCAGGGACAGAUGGCAAACUCUCUUCUGUGACCUCCUCUGCAUCUCAGGACAGUCUUGUUACGCCAUAAAGUCCUUUACCCCAUGAUUCUAAAAAGGGAAAACCUCUGUGGUCCUACACCAGAGCUCCAAGGAGAGGCACAGCCUCGUUCAAGAAGUGUUUGUAUGUGUUUGUGUUACCUGUCACACCUGCCAGUGCAGCAGCCCAGGGCUGGGAGGUUUCUUGCCUAUGGCACAGCACCAGUCUUGCAAACUUCAUGCUCAGACCCCAAUAAAUCAGCAAACCUGUCCCAUCUCCUCCCCUGGGCAGACUGCAGCUGCACCACAGCCACUCGCCUUUCCAGCUGCGAGCCUUAAACCCACACCCCACUUUGAGACAGCUGAAAUCUUCAAGGCUGCUUCACAAAGGACAGAGAAAAGACACUCCAGCAGGUCAUAUGUCAGUCCUGACCUGGAUACACAUCCUGGGAAGAGGAAAAUCACCUUCUGGCCGUGUGUCCUUCUGCCCCAGGCACACAGUCAGCUCUGAGCUGUUGCUGCAGCUAAAGGCUUAACUGCACCGGGGUAGAUCAGGUAGGAUGAAUUGUGUUGGUGUGACUAAAGGACCUGAUUCUCAUUUUCAGUAUUGAUUUAGGCAGCCCUAGCCAGGUUGUUAGAGCUGUCAGGGACCUAAAAAUACCGAUAAUGAUUUGCAGGCUGUUGCAGUAAGAGAUGCCAGACUGUUACAGUAAGGGAUGCCAGGCAGACUUUGGGCUCAUUAGGCACAUAACUGCUUGCUUGCUUUCAAAGAAGCUUCUUCUCCCAUUGUCCCAAAAGCCUUGCACACAACUCCUGUGGCAGAGUGUUGGUCUAACUUGUCUGAGCAACUCAGGACACAUCAUCCCCAUUCUAGACUCUGAACACUCCCAUGAUAUCAAGAACACGAGAGAAAGAACAAGCCCAGAAGAUACCAAUUAAGACUUCAAUUGGAUAUUAGGAAAAAUUUCUUUACUGAAAGGAUGCUGAAGCACUGGAACAGCCUGUCCAGAGAAUGGUGGAGUAACAGUUCCUGGAAGUUCUGAAAAAGCAUGUAGGUGUGGUUCUAUGGGACAUGGUUUAGUGGUGGCCCUGGCAGUGUUAGGUUAGUGGCUGGACUCAAUGAUCUUAGAGGUCUUUUCCAAUCUUAAUGAUUCCAUUAUUCUCUUUUAAAGCACAUCUUCCCUUCUCUGUUCACAUCUGAGGAACCUCAGGCUUGGCUGGACUCUGUCUCUUGACCUGUCUUCUCCUGUUCAUGUCUGCUCCAGCAGGUGUGCAGAAGAUACACCUCUCCCCACUUUGUGUUCUUCUAAGAAGAAGAAAAUGGGCUCAAUCCAAGAAAAUCAUGGGGAAAGCUGACAAGAAGCUUUCAUGAAGUUCCUCAUGCUCCACAGGAUGAACAGUGGUGUCCUUGGUGGAAAAGAGACAAAAAUUCAGUGGAGGCAGCAAACAAAGCAGCAACUUCAUUAGCAUCAGAGACCACAUGCUCUGAGGCACAUCCUCUGCCUGUCCUUAGCUCUGGGAUCCUGCUGAGAGUGUCUCCUUAGGUCUCCAGUGCUGGCAGACCAACCCAGCACACGUGGUGCAGCAGCAAAGUGUCCCCUCUCUGUCUGUGUCACUGCUGCACCCAAGGCCUGACAGUAGUUUCCUCUGUCAGCAAAAUCACAAGGAAAGGGAAAAAAAUAAUAAAAAGAAAAAAAAAAUUAAGAAAAAAAGCUGCAGGGGGAGCAAGCACAGGAACAAGCUGCAUAAUAAGCUGCAGUGGAAAGCAGGGAGGGUGUCUGUUUAUUCCCUUGAUUUACCCACUGCAUCUCAGAGUUUUCCACUUUGCAGCUCCCAUCCCAAUGUUCGGUGAGUAAAUAA
Molecule: long non-coding RNA, 2425 nt
Filed under: Taeniopygia guttata (zebra finch)
Lineage: Eukaryota; Metazoa; Chordata; Aves; Passeriformes; Estrildidae
Description: lncRNA (ENSTGUG00000024620.1)
Source: RNAcentral